UACGGGGGGAGCAAGCGUUGUUCGGAUUUACUGGGCGUAAAGGGCUCGUAGGCGGCCAACUAAGUCGGAUGUGAAAUCCCCAGGCUUAACCUGGGAACUGCAUCCGAUACUGGAUGGCUUGAAUUCGGGAGAGGGAUGCAGAAUUCCAGGUGUAGCGGUGAAAUGCGUAGAUAUCUGGAGGAAUACCGGUGGCGAAGGCGGCAUCCUGGACCGAUAUUGACGCUGAUGAGCGAAAGCUAGGGGAGCAAACAGG
Molecule: ribosomal RNA, 253 nt
Filed under: uncultured bacterium
Lineage: Bacteria
Description: partial 16S ribosomal RNA
Rfam family: Bacterial small subunit ribosomal RNA
Source: RNAcentral